AGUGCGCAAGCACUCGCUGUCGGAUGAGCCCAUGACCGAUUAGCUAGUUGGUAAGGUAAAAGCUUACCAAGGCAACGAUCGGUAGCUGGUCUGAGAGGAUGAUCAGCCACACUGGGACUGAGACACGGCCCAGACUCCUACGGGAGGCAGCAGUGGGGAAUAUUGGACAAUGGGCGCAAGCCUGAUCCAGCAAUGCCGCGUGUGUGAAGAAGGCCUGCGGGUUGUAAAGCACUUUAGGUUGGGAAGAAAGCCUAUGGAAGACAAAGCCAUAGGGAUGACGUUACCAACAGACUCUGAAUAAGCACCGGCUAACUCUGUGCCAGCAGCCGCGGUAAUACAGAGGGUGCGAGCGUUAAUCGGAAUUACUGGGCGUAAAGGGUGCGUAGGCGGCUAAAUAAGUCAGAUGUGAAAGCCCUGGGCU
This 421-nucleotide ribosomal RNA is filed under the name uncultured Beggiatoa sp. RNAcentral describes it as "bacterial SSU rRNA". It matches the Rfam family "Bacterial small subunit ribosomal RNA", at positions 202 to 609 of the family's 1533-position model. Lineage: Bacteria; Pseudomonadati; Pseudomonadota; Gammaproteobacteria; Thiotrichales; Thiotrichaceae. The record is from RNAcentral.